CUGACACAGGUGCUGCAUGGCUGUCGUCAGCUCGUGUCGUGAGAUGUUGGGUUAAGUCCGUAACGAGCGCAACCCUGUCCUUAGUUACCAGCACGUUAUGGUGGGCACUCUAAGGAGACUGCCGGUGACAAACCGGAGGAAGGUGGGGAGUGACGUCAAGUCAUCAUGGCCCUUACGGCCUGGGCUACACACGUGCUACAAUGGUCGGUACAAAGGGUUGCCAAGCCGCGAGGUGGAGCUAAUCCCAUAAAACCGAUCGUAGUCCGGAUCGCAGCCUGCAACUCGACUGCGUGAAGUCGGAAUCGCUAGUAAUCGUGAAUCAGAAUGUCACGGUGAAUACGUUCCCGGGCCUU
Molecule: ribosomal RNA, 353 nt
Filed under: uncultured Pseudomonas sp.
Lineage: Bacteria; Pseudomonadati; Pseudomonadota; Gammaproteobacteria; Pseudomonadales; Pseudomonadaceae
Description: bacterial SSU rRNA
Rfam family: Bacterial small subunit ribosomal RNA
Source: RNAcentral